GGGGAUUUCAACAGAUAACGCACCCCGGCUUUCACUUCAUGCAGAAUAUUCUACAAACACGCAACAAAGAACAGGCAGGAGCCAAAAGCUCCGAAUUCACACAAUUAAAUUGCGCCCCCUGCUGUCAACACAUGGAAGAAACAAGAAUGCUUUCAGAGCCACUGUGCUCUUUAUGAAAACACAGUUCCCAGGCAGUCUGCUGAGAAACAUGGCCAAAUAAGCAGCAGGGCCUUGAUACAAGGCAAUGAUUCAAAUGAAACAUACAGCCAAACCAAGAAAGAGAUGGUUAACAGAAAACAAUAUCAACAGUCGCCCACCCAGCGUCAAGACCUGAAUGCAAUCAACAAUCUAUGGAAGGAGCUAAAGACCAGAGUGAUUUCAGAGUACUUUUGGACAUGGCACUUUUCAUGAAAAUCAAAUCUGAUAAAAUAAAUGAAUAAAUAUA
Long non-coding RNA from Alosa sapidissima (American shad), 445 nucleotides. RefSeq lists it as uncharacterized. The transcript has 3 exons. Lineage: Eukaryota; Metazoa; Chordata; Actinopteri; Clupeiformes; Clupeidae. The record is from RefSeq and is a predicted model, not a curated record.